AAAAAAACUAACCUUGUGUCUUGUGAAAAGGGGUGAAAGGGUGUGUGAGGGUGGAUGGAGUGGAAGGGACACAGCUGGAAUUUGUCACCAGCCACUGAUUCCCCAGAGGAGCUGAGAGCUGACCCACCUACAUAUGUUCUCUACCUCUGAGUUCUCCCUUCUGCCUGAGACUUGGAUCAUUUUUGCACCUGGGCCCUCACAUCCCACCCCAGGCCCUGGAUCUCCCCUGUCUGCCUUUAGCUCUCCCAUUCCACUCCUGCCCUAGGCCCUCCUGCCUCUGAGCUCUCUAUUCUGCUUCCUAGGACUUCUUGGCCCCUGGUCUAUGCAGUCUGCCCCAGGUUCAAGGAUUCUGCCUCUUGGUCUUCAUUUCACUUUAGUCCUGGGACUUCCCUGAUUCUAAGACCCUCUGUUGUAUCCCAACUCCCAGAUCACCCUUUCUCUGGAUCCUCUUUUAUGUCCUCAAAUCUGGAUUCCACUCCCUGAAGAGCCCCCAUUAUGGUUCUUGGAUCUCUCCUCCUUCAGCAUUCCCUAUUCCAUCCUAGUCCCCAGGGCUCUGCCCCUAGACCCUUUAUUUAUCACACGUCUUCCUGGCCUUUAGGCCCCACAGUUCUGUAGUGGUCCAGGGACACCUAUCUUUGAGGCACUCAUUCCAAAUCCAAGAAACCUUGCAAGACCCCUUCCCCUAGGACUUCAGUGUGCCCUAUUUGUGUAUCUCCCUUUCACCCCAAGUCUUAGGUCUCCUCUGCCUUCAAGCCCCUCAUUUUAUCCCAGCUCACCCACAUCUGCUGUGCAAAACACAAAACUAUGAGCAGGCCAGUCACUCCAGUGUUUCCCUACCUUCCUCUUUUCUUUUCCCACUGAACCCCAAAUACCAAGUCUCUGUUUCCUUGCAGCUUUGGUAAGCUAUGAAAAAAGAGAACUCCCAACUGUGGGCCUGUUUCUGCUGGGCCUAGAAGGGCUAAGCCAUUUCCCACUCCCUGAUACCAGAGAGCUCUGGACUAUUCUCUUCCUAUUGAAACCCUCUUUGGCCUCUUGGUCUUCAAGAGUUUUUCUCAUGACCCAUUUUGUUAAAGUUCUGCUGAGUG
RNAcentral lists this long non-coding RNA (1085 nucleotides) under Marmota monax (woodchuck). The record is from RNAcentral. Lineage: Eukaryota; Metazoa; Chordata; Mammalia; Rodentia; Sciuridae.